This 377-nucleotide unclassified non-coding RNA is filed under the name uncultured Actinomycetes bacterium. Its description in RNAcentral is "uncultured actinobacterium contains 16S-23S intergenic spacer region". The record is from RNAcentral. Lineage: Bacteria; Bacillati; Actinomycetota; Actinomycetes.
UCCGGUUUGGCACCGGCGGUCUCCCAUGAGUCCCCGGCAUCACCCGCUGGCAACUAGGAACAGGGGUUGCGCUCGUUGCGCCACUUAAGGCAACACCUCACGGCACGAGCUGACGACAGCCAUGCAGCACCUGUGCGGGCUCCCGAAGGAGCACCGUGUUUCCACGGCUUCGCCCCGCAUGUCAAGCCCUGGUAAGGUUCUUCGCGUUGCGUCGAAUUAAACCACAUGCUCCGCUGCUUGUGCGGGUCCCCGUCAAUUCCUUUGAGUUUUAGCCUUGCGGCCGUACUCCCCAGGCGGGGCGCUUAAUGCGUUAGCUACGGCACGGACAACGUGGAUGUCGCCCACACCUAGCGCCCAACGUUUACAGCGUGGACUAC